This 485-nucleotide ribosomal RNA is filed under the name Peptostreptococcaceae bacterium canine oral taxon 030. RNAcentral's name for it is "bacterial SSU rRNA". It matches the Rfam family "Bacterial small subunit ribosomal RNA", at positions 9 to 495 of the family's 1533-position model. Lineage: Bacteria; Bacillati; Bacillota; Clostridia; Peptostreptococcales; Peptostreptococcaceae. The record is from RNAcentral.
GAGUUUGAUUCUGGCUCAGGAUUAACGCUGGCGGCGUGCGUAACACAUGCAAGUCGAACGGUAUUUUGAAAGGAAAAGGCUUCGGUCUUGGAAAGUCAAGAGAGAGUGGCGAACGGGUGAGUAACGCGUGAGCAACCUGCCUUCCACAAAGGGAUAGCUGCCGGAAACGGUAAUUAAUACCAUAUGAAGUUAACGAAUCGCAUGAUAAGGUAACUAAAGAGAAAUCGGUGGAAGAUGGGCUCGCGUCCGAUUAGCUGGUUGGAGAGAUAACAGCUCACCAAGGCAAUGAUCGGUAGCCGGCUUGAGAGAGUGAACGGCCACACUGGAACUGAGAGACGGUCCAGACUCCUACGGGAGGCAGCAGUGGGGAAUUUUGCACAAUGGGGGGAACCCUGAUGCAGCGACGCCGCGUGAGCGAAGAAGGAAUUCGUUUCGUAAAGCUCUGUCCUAUGGAAAGAUAAUGACGUACCAUAGGAGGAGCCCCG